AGUGAACGCUGGCGGUAGGCCUAACACAUGCAAGUCGAACGGCAGCACAGUAAGAGCUUGCUCUUACGGGUGGCGAGUGGCGGACGGGUGAGGAAUACAUCGGAAUCUACUUUUUCGUGGGGGAUAACGUAGGGAAACUUACGCUAAUACCGCAUACGACCUACGGUUGAAAGCAGGGGAUCUUCGGACCUUGCGCGAUUGAAUGAGCCGAUGUCGGAUUAGCUAGUUGGCGGGGUAAAGGCCCACCAAGGCGACGAUCCGUAGCUGGUCUGAGAGGAUGAUCAGCCACACUGGAACUGAGACACGGUCCAGACUCCUACGGGAGGCAGCAGUGGGGAAUAUUGGCCAAUGGGCGCAAGCCUGAUCCAGCCAUACCGCGUGGGUGAAGAAGGCCUUCGGGUUGUAAAGCCCUUUUGUUGGGAAAGAAAAGCAGCAGGUUAAUACCCCGCUGUUCUGACGGUACCCAAAGAAUAAGCACCGGCUAACUUCGUG
Molecule: ribosomal RNA, 492 nt
Filed under: uncultured bacterium
Lineage: Bacteria
Description: partial 16S ribosomal RNA
Rfam family: Bacterial small subunit ribosomal RNA
Source: RNAcentral